UACGGAGGGUGCAAGCGUUAUCCGGAUUCACUGGGUUUAAAGGGUGCGUAGGUGGGCAGGUAAGUCCGUGGUGAAAUCCCUGAGCUUAACUCGGGAACUGCCAUGGAUACUAUUUGUCUUGAAUAUUGUGGAGGUAAGCGGAAUAUGUCAUGUAGCGGUGAAAUGCUUAGAUAUGACAUAGAACACCAAUUGCGAAGGCAGCUUACUACACAGUUAUUGACACUGAGGCACGAAAGCGUGGGGAGCGAACAGG
Molecule: ribosomal RNA, 253 nt
Filed under: uncultured bacterium
Lineage: Bacteria
Description: partial 16S ribosomal RNA
Rfam family: Bacterial small subunit ribosomal RNA
Source: RNAcentral